This 62-nucleotide small RNA is filed under the name Caenorhabditis elegans. Its description in RNAcentral is "Unclassified non-coding RNA F33C8.9". The record is from RNAcentral. Lineage: Eukaryota; Metazoa; Nematoda; Chromadorea; Rhabditida; Rhabditidae.
GGCGUCGUCUAAUGUGAGAAACAAAAACCGAUGACAUCUCAUUCCACAAUGUCAUUAGGCUG